AUUGAUAGUUGAGGGUGAGGGAUCUAAAUCUGAAUGUCUCUAUUGGAAAUUGAGGUGUCAACCAAUUAAACUAAAUCUUAUUGAAAUAUUGGAGAAAACUAAUAAUGAAGUUCUAGCAAUUCUCCAAGCUUUUAAUGGUUGCUGCUCCUUGAUCGCAUUUGUGACAACACAUAUCUUGUAUCUAAACUUCUAUAAACUUGAUUAUGCUAUGCCAAAUAUGUCGUCUUAAAAUCCAUUGCAUAUGGCUUUGUUACUCUGCCAACAUUUUUAGAGUUUCCAUGUUUGGCUCUACAAGAAUGAUUCUUCAAAAUAUCUUAGGGUAUGUUUGGUAAGGUAUUUUAAACAACAGUUUUAGUGUUUAAACAACAUUAUACGUAUUUCUACAUAUUUUUUCAUCCACAUGUAUUUCCAAAAAAUACAAACAAUGGUACUAGUGCCACAUAGUGUCUAAAAUACUAUUGACCCCAUCUCCAUGACCCAACUUUUUUCCCAGCAUGCCCUUUAACAGCUCUAGCUCAUCACUCAAUGAGGCCACGGCCUAUCGAACGACUUCAUGGUUCCCAUGUUGAAGCAAGAAAAUAUAAGUGGCAGCAGAACUUCCAGUGACCAAGUGAUUUGGAUGCAACCGCAUUUGAGAUACUGGAGCAUCAAAUUGCAGUACCUUUUGCACAGAUGAUGCGAGGAGGCCAAGCUUUUGAAGAGAUAAUAACUAAAGAUUAGUUUUUAGAACCCCAUGAACUUGAAAGGAGGCAAACUCAAGGUUGGAUUUAGGCUUGGCCAUUAAAAAAUUCAAGCUCAGAACUUGAAGCUUUCUCUCUUCCGGAUUUUGUUUGAGUGGACAUGCUUUUUUUCAGUUGUAAUAAACAGCAUUUACCAUUUUGGGACAUAGUGGACUGGAGGCGAUUUUCAUUCAGGGAUCCUCAUAAAUGAGCUUCUAGAAGGGAAGUUCGACUCUGAGAUCAAGAAACUACAACAGAAUUUGGUCAUGGUACAGCACCACUUUCAGUGGAACGACCCCCUAAACAUUAUGAUACCUUCCAUAUGGUGCUGUUUUCUGACAAAGAAACACCUGUACUGAACAUUAUGCCCUUACAAGUUUUAUAUCACAUUU
This is a long non-coding RNA of Quercus lobata, 1111 nucleotides long. RefSeq lists it as uncharacterized. The transcript has 5 exons. NCBI's taxonomy places the organism in Eukaryota, Viridiplantae, Streptophyta, Magnoliopsida, Fagales, Fagaceae. The record is from RefSeq and is a predicted model, not a curated record.